GCAACUCGCCUACACGAAGCUGGAAUCGCUAGUAAUCGCGGAUCAGCACGCCGCGGUGAAUACGUUCCCGGGCCUUGUACACACCGCCCGUCACACCAUGAGAGUCUGUAACACCCAAAGCCGGUGGGAUAACCUUUAUAGGAGUCAGCCGUCUAAGGUAGGGCAGAUGAUUAGGGUGAAGUCGUAACAAGGUAAC
Molecule: ribosomal RNA, 196 nt
Filed under: uncultured bacterium
Lineage: Bacteria
Description: partial 16S ribosomal RNA
Rfam family: Bacterial small subunit ribosomal RNA
Source: RNAcentral